This is a long non-coding RNA of Neomonachus schauinslandi (Hawaiian monk seal), 674 nucleotides long. RefSeq lists it as uncharacterized. The record is from RefSeq and is a predicted model, not a curated record. Lineage: Eukaryota; Metazoa; Chordata; Mammalia; Carnivora; Phocidae. The transcript has 3 exons.
UCAAAAGGAGACCUCUAACAACUCACGGUUUGAAACCUGGCUCUUGGUCAGCAUUGGCGGUUGGGAGACAAGGCUCCCGAAGUGGCAGCAAGCACCCCAGCGGGCAGCAACCUUCCUGGAGCUCGGACGCCCCUGCAGCCCCUCCCUGGCCAUUGAAGGCAUGUGAGGUUGUGACCCAUCUCACUCAAGGGAGAUCACGAUGCGGUGCUAUCAAAAUGAGGUUCUCCAGGACAUGUGUUCACAACUUAAAAAUGUCAACUGACCUUGCCGGGGACAGCCACCUGUGUGGUCAGCAGACUCGCCCCCUUGGACAGGGGAUAGACCUGGGUAGCUGCCCUUGUGGAAGGGGUGAGGCCCGAGGAGUGGCAAAGGAGACCCCCAUGUGUUGAGAAAUGGAAUUCACAACCAUUCCAGUCCAGCGAAGCCCAGUAAGCAUGCACGGAGCCAUCCCCACAAGCCCUUCUGGGCCAUCAACAGAAGUCAUGCGGGAAUAGCUCCGAUGAUCCCAGCACAGUGUCAGGAUGCCUCCAGGAGUCAAGCUCCGCUCUUGGCCCCUUUCUCUUUUAAACCCAUGGAACACAAAGUGUCCAGGUGACAUCAUUUUGUCUGGGGGAACUUGGUUGCCUCGGAUGGGGCCCGCCCUCCCAAAUGCAGGAUCCUUGCUGACCCCUGGG